GGGGUUGUGGCUCAGCAGUAGAGCGCUCGACUCAAACCUGUGAGACCCUGGGUUCAAUCCUCAGCACCA
RNAcentral lists this transfer RNA (69 nucleotides) under Ictidomys tridecemlineatus (thirteen-lined ground squirrel). RNAcentral's name for it is "Spermophilus tridecemlineatus (thirteen-lined ground squirrel) tRNA". It matches the Rfam family "tRNA". From Rfam's summary of the family: Transfer RNA (tRNA) molecules are approximately 80 nucleotides in length. Their secondary structure includes four short double-helical elements and three loops (D, anti-codon, and T loops). The record is from Rfam by way of RNAcentral. Lineage: Eukaryota; Metazoa; Chordata; Mammalia; Rodentia; Sciuridae.